Mustela erminea (ermine) is the source of this 2294-nucleotide long non-coding RNA. RefSeq lists it as uncharacterized. The transcript has 6 exons. The record is from RefSeq and is a predicted model, not a curated record. Lineage: Eukaryota; Metazoa; Chordata; Mammalia; Carnivora; Mustelidae.
GCAAGUCCAACAAAGGAGAGGAAUGUUAUUUUAUGGAGAAGAAGGAGGAAGUUGGGAGGGUUUGUUUUAACAAAAGUCCAUUAGAGAAAAACAAACUUUCAGGUGAUACUGGUUUCUCAUUGACUGAGUUGCAGACGGUCCUGAUUUUUUACAUGAGCUCCAAUAUACAUCUUCCUCUUAGGACUUGUGAUUGAUGGAUGAUUCCUUUCUGUGGAAGAUUCUUCUGCCGGGGUCUGUGCUGGCCUCUUCUGUUGGAGUCGGUAACUGACAUUGAAUGAACUAACUUUUUGAACUGAUUGGGGAGUGACUAAAACCUGCAACAUGGAAAGAGUUGGGAAUUCGUAUGAGAAAAGAUUAUCUGAACUUCAGCAAUGACAAAGGGAACAGAUAUAAGAUAUCAGAACACAUAGUGGCCAACUAAAUGAAAGAGCAAAUGAUGAGACAAAGAAGUUUCAGCUAUUCAUGGAUCGUGCGGUUAUUUUCAACGGUAUCCUUCCACAUAACUUUUUUCCUGGGAAAUGGACAGUUACCUAGAACUUUCUCUCCCCGCUGAUAGAAACAAACGUCCCUUCCCCAAGAUGAUGUGGAUUGAGGAGAGCAGAACUCAAGGCUAGAUAUCUUCAUACAAGUCUGAGGAUGUGAAGGAGAACAGAUUGACUAAUGAGAUCAAGGUGGAGUGUUCCCUGUACUAGGAAAAGAGAAACAUCUUCAAUGGGGAAUUGAAGCCAAAGAAUUUGGUACAGACCACAUUAAGAUAAUUCUUGAUCUGCCUUUAGCUUCUCUGCCUAGUUUAGCUACCUUUUCGUAAUUGCCUCUCUUUGUUCAACCUGGUAUAAGAACAUUUAGGUUUUGCCAAUUCUCAGAAUCUUCAUUUCAUUAUGAGGGAUCCCAUGUUACAUAAAUCUUCCAUUAAAUACAUUUGUAUCCUUUUCUCCUGUUAAUCUGUUUUAUGCCUGUUUAAUUCCCAAGCCCCACUGAAAAAGGGUAAGAGGGUGAAGAUAAAAUUUUGCCUCCCCUAUGGUAUCAACCUCUACUGUUUCUACCCUCUACAUCAUUCCUCUUUGUCCCUAAUCCUAUUCUUUGUUUUGGAAUAUUAUGAAACCUUCUUAAAUAAUCUUUGUUCAUUUGACUGAAAGAAUCUUUAAAGAUUCAUUUUCUUGCUCCUAAAUCUUGAACAACUCCUUCCUGCCUAUUAGAUAAUAUCCACCAUGCCUGGUUUAGUAAUGAGGGCAACAGUUUGUCUUCAACUAUUUUGUACAUGAUUUUCUUUCUUGACACCCUUCUAUGUUAUGUACCCAAUUUUGCAACCAAGAUACAGAACCAGCCCAUCCUCAAAAUGCUUUCAUGGUAGGGCUCCAAAAAAAAAAACAAACAAAAAACAAAAAACAAAACAACAACAAAACAAAACAAAAAAUCUCCGCAGCUGGGAAUCUUCUUUUUGCUCCUCUCCACUUAUAUUUCUAAAUAGUUCCCCUAACUAAAACGACAUUAUUUUAUUUUCCUUUCAUUUGCUCAGUACUUUAUUCAUGUGUUUGCUUCACACUUAAGAACUACUCGUAAAAGUCAUGCAGUUAAAUUUAACAAGAAGGAGUUACUAUCAGAGUAAGAGAAUUUCCACUUCUUACUUGAAGAGAAACCAAAUGGAGAGGCGUGCCGCAUUCCCCCAUGAAGUAGGCUCGCCAUCUAGCGACAGCUCCUCCACACUACAAACCUUGCCUGGAGACCUGAGACUCUGAAGACUUCACCUUCCAGUUUUCCUCAAGGAAUAUGAUAAACAGACGCUUUUUCCUCCGAUAUAGCACAGAACCACAAGAAAAAGACUGCAUAAUGCUUACAUUUUUAUGUUGUUAAACGCUGAAAACCAAUUAAGUUUGGGUCGAUUCUACAGAUAAGUUCAAAGAAACAGAAAGACGUGAAAUGUUUGUGUUAACCUUAAUCAGUGAUGCGGAUAGAUCCACUCUGAAAGACGAGGAGUUUAAAGGAAUGCUUGUAAGCUUGGAUAAAUCUCUGAUAAAGUGUAAGAAAUUUCUCUUCUCCUGAGAUAACGCGUAUAACAUACCCAGCAGAGUACGCUCUGAAUAAACUUUAGCAAAAUGGCUCAAAGGAGGCAUAAGCUUCGGAACCAGAGGAUUUGUUGUCCCCACCUCCAUAAAUUGGAGCACAACACUCAAGCACUCAAAAUGACCAUUUUGACAUGUGGAAACAUGGGGACAGCCAUAUCUUUUCUGUGAAUAUUAAACAUAGCAUAUACAAAAUGCUUAGUCUCUAACAGGUACCCUAUUUUAAAAAUGGCG